RNAcentral lists this ribosomal RNA (253 nucleotides) under uncultured bacterium. RNAcentral's name for it is "partial 16S ribosomal RNA". It matches the Rfam family "Bacterial small subunit ribosomal RNA", at positions 524 to 776 of the family's 1533-position model. The record is from RNAcentral.
UACGGGGGGGGCAAGCGUUGUUCGGAAUUACUGGGCGUAAAGGGCGCGUAGGCGGCCUGCUAAGUCGAACGUGAAAUCCCUGGGCUCAACCCAGGAACUGCGUCCGAUACUGGUUGGCUUGAAUCCGGGAGAGGGAUGUGGAAUUCCCAGUGUAGAGGUGAAAUUCGUAGAUAUUGGGAAGAACACCGAUGGCGAAGGCAGCCAUCUGGACCGACACUGACGCUGAGGCGCGAAAGCGUGGGGAGCAAACAGG